CACGUAGGGGGCGAGCGUUGUCCGGAUUUAUUGGGCGUAAAGAGCUCGUAGGCGGCUCGGUAAGUCGGGUGUGAAACCUCCAGGCUCAACCUGGAGACGCCACCCGAUACUACCGUGGCUAGAGUCCGGUAGAGGAGCGUAGAAUUCCUGGUGUAGCGGUGAAAUGCGCAGAUAUCAGGAGGAAUACCAGCGGCGAAGGCGGCGCUCUGGGCCGGUACUGACGCUGAGGAGCGAAAGCGUGGGGAGCGAACAGG
This 254-nucleotide ribosomal RNA is filed under the name uncultured bacterium. Its description in RNAcentral is "partial 16S ribosomal RNA". It matches the Rfam family "Bacterial small subunit ribosomal RNA", at positions 524 to 776 of the family's 1533-position model. The record is from RNAcentral.